Molecule: ribosomal RNA, 301 nt
Filed under: uncultured bacterium
Lineage: Bacteria
Description: partial 16S ribosomal RNA
Rfam family: Bacterial small subunit ribosomal RNA
Source: RNAcentral
CAGCAGCCGCGGUAAUACGUAGGUGGCAAGCGUUGUCCGGAAUUAUUGGGCGUAAAGCGCGCGCAGGCGGAUCAGUUAGUCUGUCUUAAAAGUUCGGGGCUUAACCCCGUGAUGGGAUGGAAACUGCUGAUCUAGAGUAUCGGAGAGGAAAGUGGAAUUCCUAGUGUAGCGGUGAAAUGCGUAGAUAUUAGGAAGAACACCAGUGGCGAAGGCGACUUUCUGGACGAAAACUGACGCUGAGGCGCGAAAGCCAGGGGAGCGAACGGGAUUAGAUACCCAGUAGUCCCUGUCUCUUAUACAC